RNAcentral lists this ribosomal RNA (255 nucleotides) under uncultured soil bacterium. Its description in RNAcentral is "partial 16S ribosomal RNA". It matches the Rfam family "Bacterial small subunit ribosomal RNA", at positions 26 to 307 of the family's 1533-position model. The record is from RNAcentral.
AGAACGAACGCUGGCGGCAUGCCUAACACAUGCAAGUCGAACGAGACCUUCGGGUCUAGUGGCGCACGGGUGCGUAACGCGUGGGAAUCUGCCCUUGGGUUCGGGAUAACAGUUGGAAACGACUGCUAAUACCGGAUGAUGACUUCGGUCCAAAGAUUUAUCGCCCAGGGAUGAGCCCGCGUAGGAUUAGCUUGUUGGUGAGGUAAGAGCUCACCAAGGCGACGAUCCGUAGCUGGUCUGAGAGGACGUAGUCAG